Molecule: long non-coding RNA, 1054 nt
Filed under: Triticum aestivum (bread wheat)
Lineage: Eukaryota; Viridiplantae; Streptophyta; Magnoliopsida; Poales; Poaceae
Description: long non-coding RNA (TAES_LNC008788)
Source: RNAcentral
AUCAAGUUGUUUGGCUAGAGAUAGCAUGGUAGUACUAUUUACAUGGUAAAUUACUAAAAUGAUCAUAUUUGUGACAAUGCUUCUAGCUGUACGUGCCUACAUGGCUUGUAUUCCUCUAGGUUUGCACCCAUAAGAUCUUUCUCAAAUUGCUACUGUCGAAAUAUAGGUUUCAUAUAGAUGAAGAACUUCUUGUGUGAAUCCAUAAAAGAAAACACUGAUGAGAAAAUGGACUGAAUUCUGGCCAAACACGACGAGGACCCCAUGUGCAAAUUUCAACUCAUUGGUAUGGAUAGCUCACCCGCUUCUAGCUUCGCUCUUCAGGCUCCCUUGAUAAUAACAUCUUCCUUUCCAUCCCCGCUCUGACAAAGUAAGAGCUAAAUUACACAUGUGAGACAGUAAAUAAACAAAAGAAGGACAAUGAAUGCAACAUGGACAGAACUCAUAUCUUAUAAUGAACCACACCUUCCAAAAAACAUAUCCACCCUAGCUGCAUGGCAGACUAUAAUAAUUGGCUUGCACCAGAUGCAUGACAUUGCUUUGUUUGUUAGCCUCAGCAACACAACAAAGGCAUACAAGAAAACAAAAUGAUUCAAUAGGCUGCUGCUAAGACCAUGGACAAAAUAUAGAAGCAAACAAAUAAAGCAAGGAAAGGAACAAAAGUAGCAAUCCUAGGCCCUACCAGGAGGAAAAAAGGCACAUAUUUAUACACCAGUAAAAAACAAGCAAUGAAGGCAAGGAAACAACCAAAAUUAAGUGCACAGAGAGAAUAAUAGUCUUACUCUCUACCAGGAGCAAGACAUAAAAAAGGCACUCAUUGGCCACUCCCCAUAAGAGGAGCAGAGAGGAGGACAAGGGUCGACCUGCAGAUCCGUGGCGCCCGGGCACCCCUAAGAUUGGUUGGUCAGAGUUGCGUUGCAUCAUCAUCAGAAUCAUUCAUCACCAUGAUUAUCGUCAGUGUAUCUCAGAAGAAGAGAGGAGAAAAAAAUGGACCUGGUAAGCGAACCUGAGGCCUUCCCCCUGGCCUGCCCCAUCAGAUCCGCGCUCGUCAACGGCC